This 154-nucleotide small nuclear RNA is filed under the name Capra hircus (goat). Its description in RNAcentral is "U1 spliceosomal RNA (ENSCHIG00000008458.1)". It matches the Rfam family "U1 spliceosomal RNA". Rfam says of the family: U1 is a small nuclear RNA (snRNA) component of the spliceosome (involved in pre-mRNA splicing). Its 5' end forms complementary base pairs with the 5' splice junction, thus defining the 5' donor site of an intron. Lineage: Eukaryota; Metazoa; Chordata; Mammalia; Artiodactyla; Bovidae. The record is from Rfam by way of RNAcentral.
AUACUUACCUGGCAGGGGAGAUACCAUGACCACGAAGGUGGUUCCAGGUGAGGCUUAUCCAUUGCACUCCGAUGUGCUGACCCUGCGAUUCCCAAAUGUGGAAACUCGACUGCAUAAUUUGUGGUAGUGGGGACUGCGUUCGCGCUUUCCCUGA